GUUUUAACAUAGGAAACAUAGAAUUUGUUUUGGUAUGCUUUUAUUAGUUUAUGAUGUUCCUACCAGACAGCUAAAAAAUGAAGUCAUGCUCUCUGCAGAUAGCAACUUUGACAAAGCUGAUGCUUAAGACUGCAGAAGACUUGGUGCCCUGAGUCAAGGAAUAGCCAGAGAGAUUCAUUUCUACUCAGACCAGAGAUGACAGAAUGAAGCUUGGAGAUUAUGGCAGUAGAGAACAUAGCAUUCGGGAGCUUUGGGAAGGAAGCCAGCUGCAGCAAGAAGGACUUCAGGAAUCCGGGCUAAAGAAAAUGAAGCAGUAGAAAUGAGUAUCUUAGCUAUGUCCCUGAAUUCUUCAGAGUCAGUAAAGAGGAAUUACAAGGAGCGCUUGCUCAGGAAAUCUUCUAAGUGCCUGGAGUAACUAGCAACUGUAAAGGAGAAAUGCUUUACAUUUUCAAGAGUCAAGGAUAGGAACAAAAAUGUUGGCUUUGAUCUCCCCUGAUGCAGCAGAUCUCUACUCUUUCCUCGUAAAGAAUCCAGGAUGAUUUUCUUAGUGAAUUUCUACCGGAAAACAGUGAAAAUUUCAUUUAUCAGUCUGAAAUCUAUCCUCUCUGCUUUGCAAAGGAAGAAUGCAAUGAGAAAUAUACUCAUCGUACGCUGACAGGCUGGGCUAAACUUGGAUUUAUCCAAGUAAACAUGGCUCAAUUUGACACUCUCUGAUGAAUAAACAGGUCUUUGUCUUUAACCAUAUCCAGGAGGCAAAAUAUAUACAUAGAAAUGAAUUAGAUGAAGAGCUUCUUGUGCAAUUUCCAUUUAAAUUAGAAUACGGAACUGGUAAGAGAAAAACUCACGCACACUAAUUUAAAAGUUUAAAACUGUAAGUCCAACAAACUGUGGAAUAAUUCAUUACAACUUGAUGUGGCCUUAAUUUAAAGGCUCCUAUAAUUUAUUAAAGAAAUCAUUAACUUUCUUUUUUCCACAUGUCAAGAGAGUAAAAUAGAAUUUUUAAUCUAUGUGGAUGUUUUAGAUAAACACAACAGGAUCUAAAUUCCUGCUGAUCAGCCCUAGAUAGAAAUUACUGAGAAAAUACUUCAUCUUGUCCUUGCACAUUUGUUAUUUCUUUUACCACCCUCCCCUUUUUGUUUUUAAUAGAGGAUGGGGAUUGGUUCUUGAGGUGGAAAACUCUUGUUGGUAGUUUGUUUUCUUUCUUCAGUCUCCAUCCACCCUCUUGGAGAUUAGUAAUUUUAUCCAGCACUGAAUCACUGAGCACUAGUUGAAACUCACAGUACAUAGCAGUAAAUUUAAAAAACAAAAAAAAAAAAAAAAAAAAAAAACAACCCACACACAAGUAGAAAAAAACUAACUAGCUUAACUAUUUUGUGAAGCUUCAUGCUACACUAGGAGCAUAAGUAAAUAUAAUUUUGGUAUCCUUAUCUCCAUACUACACACAAGUUGAGGGUUUGUCAAUAUUCUUCUAGGCUCUUUUGAACAUUUAUCAGUCAGCAUUGGCAGCUGUGACUGAAUGACUGCUUGCUGAAUACCAAAUGUAGCAACAGAAAGCUGUCAUUCUUCAACAAGUUAAUUCUUUGAAAUUAUUAUUAUUUAAGAUAAGUUUUCUACAAAUACGUAAGUCAGACUUCCUACUGUCUCUGAAUUCUAGGAGGAGGUAAAAUACUUUUAUGCAAAUUGCAUCUGUAA
Long non-coding RNA from Centrocercus urophasianus (Greater sage-grouse), 1692 nucleotides. RefSeq lists it as uncharacterized. Lineage: Eukaryota; Metazoa; Chordata; Aves; Galliformes; Phasianidae. The transcript is spliced from 7 exons. The record is from RefSeq and is a predicted model, not a curated record.